UAAUUAUUAUAUAUAGUCGUUCACUAAAUAUAAAUAACUCAAUUUUAGAAUAAAUAGUAAAAUAGUAUGAUGUACUAACUACUACCUUUGUGUAGACAUACCUUCUUCAUCAGACCAGGCAACACAUUUUGGCAAAAAGCCCAACGUCUUCUAUAGUCAAUACCUUGAUUCCAAUCUGUAGAAGAGAAAUAACAAAGAGAAAUAUGUCUUUUAUGAAACCUCCCCUGAAGUGUUUUAAUCAACUUCCCAAAAGAUCCAUGGCGAUGGGAAGAACUGUGUCAAACUGCAAUCGACUGUUUUAUUUUUUAUAUACCAUAUAUAGAAAAGAAUAAACUCGC
Molecule: long non-coding RNA, 338 nt
Organism: Physella acuta
Lineage: Eukaryota; Metazoa; Mollusca; Gastropoda; Physidae
Source: RefSeq, a predicted model, not a curated record